CUGGCUCAGAACGAACGCUGGCGGCAGGCUUAACACAUGCAAGUCGAGCGCCUCGCAAGAGGAGCGGCAGACGGGUGAGUAACGCGUGGGAAUCUACCCAUCUCUACGGAACAACUCCGGGAAACUGGAGCUAAUACCGUAUACGUCCUUCGGGAGAAAGAUUUAUCGGAGAUGGAUGAGCCCGCGUUGGAUUAGCUAGUUGGUGGGGUAAUGGCCUACCAAGGCGACGAUCCAUAGCUGGUCUGAGAGGAUGAUCAGCCACAUUGGGACUGAGACACGGCCCAAACUCCUACGGGAGGCAGCAGUGGGGAAUAUUGGACAAUGGGCGAAAGCCUGAUCCAGCCAUGCCGCGUGAGUGAUGAAGGCCCUAGGGUUGUAAAGCUCUUUCAACGG
Molecule: ribosomal RNA, 393 nt
Filed under: Mesorhizobium sp. R-45994
Lineage: Bacteria; Pseudomonadati; Pseudomonadota; Alphaproteobacteria; Hyphomicrobiales; Phyllobacteriaceae
Description: bacterial SSU rRNA
Rfam family: Bacterial small subunit ribosomal RNA
Source: RNAcentral